This 302-nucleotide long non-coding RNA is filed under the name Populus trichocarpa (black cottonwood). RNAcentral's name for it is "long non-coding RNA (PTRI_LNC003497)". Lineage: Eukaryota; Viridiplantae; Streptophyta; Magnoliopsida; Malpighiales; Salicaceae. The record is from RNAcentral.
ACUAAACAAUGCACAAAAAUAAUUGAAAGAAACUAAUAAGGGACUACAUUGAAAAACAAAAAAAAUGAAGAAAAUGAUAAAAAAUAAAGAGAAAUAUAAAAAAAAAGACUAAAAUUGGAAACCAAAUAAAAUUAAAUAAAACUCCCAAAGAUAAAAUAAAUAAAAAAAAGUAAUAAUGAAAAGGAUAAAAAAAAACAAUUAAAAGAAUGAAGACCAGAUUGGAUAAAAAAAAUCUAACGAGAUUAAAUGAUUAGGAACGAAAUUAAAAACAAAACAAACUUAAAGAAACAUCAAAUCUAAAA